This 465-nucleotide ribosomal RNA is filed under the name uncultured bacterium. RNAcentral's name for it is "bacterial SSU rRNA". It matches the Rfam family "Bacterial small subunit ribosomal RNA", at positions 338 to 795 of the family's 1533-position model. The record is from RNAcentral.
CCUACGGGAGGCAGCAGUGGGGAAUUUUGGACAAUGGGCGCAAGCCUGAUCCAGCCAUGCCGCGUGCGGGAAGAAGGCCUUCGGGUUGUAAACCGCUUUUGUCAGGGAAGAAACGCCUUGGGCUAAUACCCCAGGGUAAUGACGGUACCUGAAGAAUAAGCACCGGCUAACUACGUGCCAGCAGCCGCGGUAAUACGUAGGGUGCAAGCGUUAAUCGGAAUUACUGGGCGUAAAGCGUGCGCAGGCGGUUGUGCAAGACAGAUGUGAAAUCCCCGGGCUUAACCUGGGAACUGCAUUUGUGACUGCACGGCUGGAGUGCGGCAGAGGGGGAUGGAAUUCCGCGUGUAGCAGUGAAAUGCGUAGAUAUGCGGAGGAACACCGAUGGCGAAGGCAAUCCCCUGGGCCUGCACUGACGCUCAUGCACGAAAGCGUGGGGAGCAAACAGGAUUAGAUACCCUAGUAGUC